ACUUGAAUAGCUUAUGUUUUAGAGCGUGACACUGAAGAUGUCAAUGAGGUUUAUUUGAGCCUUUAAGUA
RNAcentral lists this transfer RNA (69 nucleotides) under Schedorhinotermes sp. 7 MW-2019. RNAcentral's name for it is "tRNA-Phe". Lineage: Eukaryota; Metazoa; Arthropoda; Insecta; Blattodea; Rhinotermitidae. The record is from RNAcentral.